Long non-coding RNA from Chlorocebus sabaeus (green monkey), 696 nucleotides. RefSeq lists it as uncharacterized. Lineage: Eukaryota; Metazoa; Chordata; Mammalia; Primates; Cercopithecidae. The record is from RefSeq and is a predicted model, not a curated record.
UUUGACAGUUUGAUGUGCUCCCAUGAAAUUUGAGGCAUGCUUGUUUCUCUCUGCCUGGUUUUCUCCAGAGUCUGGAAAUUACCUGACACAAUUGGAAGAGCUGGUUGUUUUACCAAGGCUUUGACAGGAACGGUGUGCUUUCCUUUGAGGAAUCAAACUUGACUUGUGAAGCCAGUGGAGCCCUUGGAUGGCAGGCCUCAUAUUUUGUGCACACGGUCCCUGUGCAAGAUUCUGACCUGAGCUGGAGAUCACUAUAACCUAAGCUGUGCUUUCUUGAAGCCCUGUGAGCUGAAGAUUAGGUGUUUCAGAGGGUGCUGCCUCUGGGCUGCCAAGGUAGAGAGUGCUACCAGGAAAAAAUCAACCUCUUCCACUCCAGCACUGUGUUCACUGUCCCAUAACAAUGACGACCCUCUCUCAGCAGGAAGUAGAUGGAAAGAGCAUACCGCCCCUCAUCCUUUUAUAACUAUAGAAUCUGGAUUGACAAAGCAAGAGCAUCGCCAUUUUGACAAACACUGACAUUUUAAGUUCCCCUUGAUUAAAAAUCACCUAAAUCCAGCCCAAGAAAACAUCAGCCUAAUGGCUAAUGUCAGCCUGACUAUAAACCACAAAUGACACCUCCAAUCAGAGACAUUUCAACCCUGAGAUAAAGCCCCCUCUGACCAGAAACAUUCCUACCCCACAAUAAAACUCUCCUCC